Molecule: ribosomal RNA, 253 nt
Filed under: uncultured bacterium
Lineage: Bacteria
Description: partial 16S ribosomal RNA
Rfam family: Bacterial small subunit ribosomal RNA
Source: RNAcentral
UACGUAGGGUGCGAGCGUUGUCCGGAAUUAUUGGGCGUAAAGAGCUUGUAGGCGGUUUGUCGCGUCUGCCGUGAAAAUCCGAGGCUCAACCUCGGACUUGCGGUGGGUACGGGCAGACUAGAGUGUGGUAGGGGAGACUGGAAUUCCUGGUGUAGCGGUGAAAUGCGCAGAUAUCGGGAAGAACACCCGUGGCGAAGGCGGCUCUCUGGGACGGUACUGACGCUGAGACGCGAAAGCGUGGGGAGCGAACAGG